UUGUUUUAAUGGUGUUUGCUUAUUUUUUGCCUGAAUUGCAGGCAAUCUCAUCCUUUCUGCACUGAAUUGACGUAACCCUUCUCUCAGAAUCAAAGCCUUCCCAAGAAGUGCUCAGUCACUUGCGUCGGGGGGAGGGGCCCUGUCCAGUUGUCUGAGAUCCCAGGAGGCUUAUCGGUGGCUGGAGCUGAACCUCCUUGGUGUUGUCUGCCUGGAUUUCUAGGACCCAUCUCUGGUCUGGCCUGUACAACACCUACUGCCUCCAGAGGCAAAGAUGAAUUUGCAUCUCACCAUCCACAACCACACCUAGACCUCCUUGCUGCCAAUGACACAUUUGCAAGACUGUCCGCAAGCCCUGGAUGGAAACAUUCAACACAAGUGGAGGUACUGGUCAGCCUUAUUUUAGAGAGAAAAUGACCAGAAUGUGAGUGGGGCAGAUCAGCCAGAGGAGCACAGCAGAAAUUUGUCAAAGGACCAGAGCAGCUUCUCCUGUCUUCCUGGGUUACUCCUUCCCUUUCUUCCUGACUCUCCCCAGCCCAACUCAGGAAGCAUCUCCCGUAUUUUCACCAAGAGCGUGAA
Long non-coding RNA from Myotis davidii, 576 nucleotides. RefSeq lists it as uncharacterized. The record is from RefSeq and is a predicted model, not a curated record. Lineage: Eukaryota; Metazoa; Chordata; Mammalia; Chiroptera; Vespertilionidae. The transcript has 3 exons.